Gallus gallus (chicken) is the source of this 1341-nucleotide long non-coding RNA. NCBI's taxonomy places the organism in Eukaryota, Metazoa, Chordata, Aves, Galliformes, Phasianidae. The record is from Ensembl.
CCAGAAAAACACAGGACACGGCAUAGGACACAUUAUACAUUUGCAUUUUGGCAUCAGCCAAAAUAUACAUCAAUACGAUGAGGUAUAUAGUAAAAAACACAUUCCUUCAGUGAGUGAUUACUGUAUUGUCUCAGUGCUUCCACAUUAACUUAGGGAGAAGAGAGGAGUCUGGCAUCUGAACCCAAUCAAAUAGAAAUAAAGAUGAAAAUUGGAGAUCAAAAGCUAAUAAUGACAAGGAAACAUCUCAACAGGAACCUUAUCUCCAAGGCCGGGAUGUCUUUUGGAAUAAAAAUGGCUGCUAAUGACUUCUCUCCAUAUAACCAAACACGUUGGCUGCUCCCAUCCAGACGCCUGCCACUUAUGCUUCCCCGCAGUUUUCAUUUGCUUUAUUGCUUUCAGAUGUAGUUGGGUCUGAGUUCCUCUGGUAGCUGUGUCAUUGCCACCAGCACUGGGGGGAUGCGGCUUCGGCUGACGGGGCUGCGAGGCGUCAGCGUUCCUCUCCAGGGACUGUCUGACACGAAGGCAGAGCUGCCUAACUGCAGCCGGAUAAUUAAAAACGGUCGAUGCUAUUAAAUGAACACAAGUCCCGACAGCUCCGGGUUUAUUCUCAUGUCACAAGGCUCACUCAGGCGUCAGGAGGGGAAGCUAGCAAUGGAGCAACUGGUGGGAAUGACACCUACAAAGAGAACUACUUCUUUUGUACGCGCUACUACAGAUCUGAAAGGACCUUUUAGGUUUGCCCUUUUGAUUUAGUAGUGCAAGUUAGCUAAAACUCUGCAUAUCUUUUCCUUCUGGUUUGAAACACUCCUCCACAUUCAUUCUGCUCCUGCCCGGGCUCCUCAGAAAUCUUUCCAGGGAAAACAGUCCUGGAUUUAUUUACAGCACAUCAUUAUUUGUUUAAAGAAACUCUUUUUGGGGAGAAAGCAAAGAGAGAUCUGAGCUCACCAUUGAGGGCCUCAAAAUGAGCUCUGUGCUUCCAAGGUGGGGGUAUUUUAAUUGAAAGGUUUACAGAGAAAGAAGAAUGCGAACGCAGGGUGAGAGCCUGUUUCUCUCAAUGUUUUCCAUGUGCCGUGUUUCUGUAGAGCAAAAUCCAGCAAGACCCCACAGAGAACUGUAGGCAAACUUUCUCUCCUUGGCAAUGCUCCCACCUUGAAAGCAAAACCAGGUUGUUAUUUGUUUAUGUGUUUGUUUUGUUCUCUGGAGUUUCCUCAGGUUCCUUCUGCUGUUUACAAAUCCUCCCACACGUGCACUUGCAUCCUUGCUUGUUUUCUACCUCAGCUGAGAAACACUGAUGAAUGAAAACGAGGCCUUUCGAUGCCUCGGGACAUCCCAUGGGAAGUG